UGAAAAACUGUCCAGGUAACCGGAGC
Molecule: small RNA, 26 nt
Filed under: Bombyx mori (domestic silkworm)
Lineage: Eukaryota; Metazoa; Arthropoda; Insecta; Lepidoptera; Bombycidae
Description: ovarian small RNA-7832
Source: RNAcentral